Molecule: ribosomal RNA, 433 nt
Filed under: uncultured bacterium
Lineage: Bacteria
Description: partial 16S ribosomal RNA
Rfam family: Bacterial small subunit ribosomal RNA
Source: RNAcentral
AACGAACGCUGGCGGCAUGCCUAACACAUGCAAGUCGAACGAGACCUUCGGGUCUAGUGGCGCACGGGUGCGUAACGCGUGGGAACCUGCCCUUAGGUUCGGAAUAACUCCCCGAAAGGGGUGCUAAUACCGGAUAAUGUCUUCGGACCAAAGAUUUAUCGCCUUUGGUUGGGCCCGCGUUGGAUUAGCUAGUUGGUAGGGUAAAAGCCUACCAAGGCGACGAUCCAUAGCUGGUCUGAGAGGAUGAUCAGCCACACUGGGACUGAGACACGGCCCAGACUCCUACGGGAGGCAGCAGUGGGGAAUAUUGGACAAUGGGCGAAAGCCUGAUCCAGCAAUGCCGCGUGAGUGAUGAAGGCCUUAGGGUUGUAAAGCUCUUUUACCCGGGAUGAUAAUGACAGUACCGGGAGAAUAAGCGCCGGCUAACCCCGUG